RNAcentral lists this unclassified non-coding RNA (309 nucleotides) under plant metagenome. RNAcentral describes it as "partial contains 5.8S ribosomal RNA, internal transcribed spacer 2, and large subunit ribosomal RNA". The stretch from base 1 to 105 matches the Rfam family "5.8S ribosomal RNA", at positions 50 to 154 of the family's 154-position model. The record is from RNAcentral.
GAAAUGCGAUAAGUAGUGUGAAUUGCAGAAUUCAGUGAAUCAUCGAAUCUUUGAACGCACAUUGCGCCCCUUGGUAUUCCAUGGGGCAUGCCUGUUCGAGUGUCAUUUGUACCCUCAAGCUCUGCUUGGUGUUGGGUGUUUGUCCCGUCUCCGCGCGUGGACUCGCCCCAAAGUGAUUGGCAGCCGGCGUACUGGUCCCGGAGCGCAGCACAUGUCGCGCAAACGAGUGCCUUGGUACGGCGGCGUCCAUAAGCCCCUCUCUCACGCUCUUGACCUCGGAUCAGGUAGGGAUACCCGCUGAACUUAAGC